Molecule: long non-coding RNA, 1796 nt
Organism: Lates calcarifer (barramundi perch)
Lineage: Eukaryota; Metazoa; Chordata; Actinopteri; Centropomidae
Exons: 3
Source: RefSeq, a predicted model, not a curated record
GUGGAGAGCUAUUGGUGGCAGCCGGUCACAUGAUCCCGCUCCCCAGCAGACAGUUGGCUGAGCAGGAGGAGGGAUGCUGCAGAGAGGAGAGGAAGGUGGAGGGAUGGAUCUGGAAGGAGAGAGAGUUUCGAGCUCCUAAAGGAAGAAACAGCUCCAGAAAUCUCACAUUUCUGCAGGAAAUUCCACCUUAAAUAUCCUCUAACAGUCCGACCACUGGUCAUGAACGUCAUGAACACAGGCAGUGCAGCUCUGAUCCACUCAUCAUCAUCCUCUCAGACUGGAGCUGAUUUGUUUUAGUGAAUGACCCACCGUGAUCAGCACCUGGAGACUGUGCAGAGGAAAAACUCAGGCUCCAUCUGCCUCGACCGGUCGGACUCGGAGCCUGAAAUGAGAGACCACCUCCAUUACACAUACAGUUUGUAUGGCACUGAAACCUUUCCUCUGUAAUUCCACUUAAAGUUCAGUGAUGUCAGGUUGAAACUUUGGUGCAAAGACAGUUUCUCCAACACAAACUUUUUACUGGUCUACAUCUAUCUUACAGCUGUUUGCCUCCGUGUCACUCUGCAGGUUUUACUAAUAGAAACGUUAGUAUCUUUACUCUGAAAUACUUCUGGUUCUGGUUGUAAUGUAGUUUUCUGGACAGUAGGUGGUGCUGUUGUUUAAAGACUGAAAUUCAGACUGAGCCUCUGCUGCUUCCUUUUUCUAUAUUAGUACACAUUACAUGUUUAUAUAUAUGUACUGUUAAUGUUCGCAGGUGUGACUGGUUUCAUUUAAUCUCUCAUGUUUGUCUAAAAGAUUUUUUUUCUAACUGAAAGUCUGUCUCUGUGUCCUUUCAGAUGGUAGAGAAUCCACGUAUCCUGAUGUUUGCGACUCAUCUAACCUCAUCUAACACAGUCUACCUUCCAUACAGACACACACACCUCAGUGUAAAUGGACCAUCUGUUGAGUUGCAGUGUUUCUGUCUUUUAGUGAAAGCUUUAAGUAUUUUUCAGAUGAUUUUCAACCGUCCGCCUGUCGUCCAUGUACCUGAGUCUGAACUUAGUCUAGACUCAGAGAGACUUAUGGUUUAGUUGGCUGUAAGCUCACUACACUUGUAAUAAUAACAUCAUUCAUACAUACACUUCAACAUACGCUUCAUUCAGUCACAUCCGCCCUGCGGUUAGUGACCGUUAAUCCGCGAUGGUCUGUGGGCUGAUGGGAAAUGGUGUUCGUUAAAAGCCGUUAAAACAAAGUAUUGACUAUUCAACGAUAGUGAAGUUUUUUAAAUUACUCUUCUUAUUUAUUGAUAUCAAAUGAACAACACAUAAUUCUCUUGACUGAGGUUCUGAUCCAAAGGUGGAUACUGAAUUACACAAAUGGGAUCAUGAAUGAUUUCUUGGCUUCAGUUUGGAUCGGUUGGUUUUGUUUUUUGCGUUUCCUGUUAGGUCAUUGUGAACUAGCUGUAGUGAUGUGUCAUGCGCAAAAGAUGCGGCUCUGAGAGCCGAUGCUUUGUAGUGAAUCAGGAACAGUGAAUCAGUUUUUUUCCUUUCGCUGCUUACCUCAGUGCUCAGCCUGAGCUCUGCUCAAGGCAGAACUUUGUUUUGAUUGGUCAGCAUCGCGGCCAAUCAGAUGUGAGGAUAUAGGAUCAUACCAAUAAAAUGUUUGAUUAAAAUAUUAAACAAAAGAAUGGUUUUGUAACAGAAUAAAUGCACAAAAUUAGGCAAUUGUAAGGCACAACACACAAACCAUUAAUUUUUGCAAAGUUAUGGUAAAAUAAAGGCCUACAAAAAAAUCCUAAAUUAAGAGCUGUUCAGGAG